AUAAGAUCCGUAGUCGAAAGGGAAACAGCCCAGACCACCAGUUAAGGUCCCCAAAUAUAUGUUAAGUGGAAAAGGAUGUGGGGUUGCUUAGACAACCAGGAUGUUGGCUUAGAAGCAGCCACCAUUGAAAGAGUGCGUAAUAGCUCACUGGUCGAGUGACCCCGCGCCGAAAAUGUACCGGGGCUAAACAUAUUACCGAAACUGUGGAUGAACCUCUUUAGAGGUUCGUGGUAGGAGAGCGUUCUAAGGGCGGUGAAGUCAGACCGGAAGGACUGGUGGAGCGCUUAGAAGUGAGAAUGCCGGUAUGAGUAGCGAAAGAAGGGUGAGAAUCCCUUCCACCGAAUAUCUAAGGUUUCCUGAGGAAGGCUCGUCCGCUCAGGGUUAGUCGGGACCUAAGCCGAGGCCGAUAGGCGUAGGCGAUGGACAACAGGUAGAGAUUCCUGUACCAGUGCUAAUUGUUUAACCGAUGGGGUGACACAGAAGGAUAGGGAAUCGCACGAAUGGAAAUGUGCGUCCAAGCAGUGAGUGUGAGAAGUAGGCAAAUCCGCUUCUCGCGAAGCAUGAGCUGUGAUGGGGAAGGAAAUUAAGUACGGAAGUUCCUGAUUUCACGCUGUCAAGAAAAGCCUCUAGGAAGAGUAGUACUGCCCGUACCGCAAACCGACACAGGUAGAUGAGGAGAGAAUCCUAAGGUGAGCGAGAGAACUCUCGUUAAGGAACUCGGCAAAAUGACCCCGUAACUUCGGGAGAAGGGGUGCUCUAUUAGGGUGCAAGCCCGAGAGAGCCGCAGUGAAUAGGCCCAGGCGACUGUUUAGCAAAAACACAGGUCUCUGCAAAACCGUAAGGUGACGUAUAGGGGCUGACGCCUGCCCGGUGCUGGAAGGUUAAGAGGAGUGCUUAGCUUCGGCGAAGGUACGAAUUGAAGCCCCAGUAAACGGCGGCCGUAACUAUAACGGUCCUAAGGUAGCGAAAUUCCUUGUCGGGUAAGUUCCGACCCGCACGAAAGGCGCAACGAUCUGGGCACUGUCUCAACGAGAGACUCGGUGAAAUUAUAGUACCUGUGAAGAUGCAGGUUACCCGCGACAGGACGGAAAGACCCCGUGGAGCUUUACUGCAACCUGAUAUGGAAUGUUUGUACCGCUUGUACAGGAUAGGUAGGAGCCGAAGAGACGUGUGCGCUAGCAUACGAGGAGGCAAUGGUGGGAUACUACCCUGGCUGUAUGACCAUUCUAACCCGCCACGCUUAGCGCGUGGGGAGACAGUGUCAGGUGGGCAGUUUGACUGGGGCGGUCGCCUCCUAAAGAGUAACGGAGGCGCCCAAAGGUUCCCUCAGAAUGGAUGGAAAUCAUUCGCAGAGUGUAAAGGCACAAGGGAGCUUGACUGCGAGACUGACAAGUCGAGCAGGGACGAAAGUCGGGCUUAGUGAUCCGGUGGUUCCGCAUGGAAGGGCCAUCGCUCAACGGAUAAAAGCUACCCCGGGGAUAACAGGCUUAUCUCCCCCAAGAGUCCACAUCGACGGGGAGGUUUGGCACCUCGAUGUCGGCUCGUCGCAUCCUGGGGCUGUAGU
Molecule: ribosomal RNA, 1564 nt
Filed under: Listeria monocytogenes
Lineage: Bacteria; Bacillati; Bacillota; Bacilli; Caryophanales; Listeriaceae
Description: partial 23S ribosomal RNA
Rfam family: Bacterial large subunit ribosomal RNA
Source: RNAcentral